AGUGUGUUGGUGCUGGAGGAUAGGGUGUUCCUGCACAGAGAGAGCCCUCAACUGAGGAAUUUGCUCCUCACAAAGGUAUGCCAAAGCCCUGAGGCUUCCUGCAUUUAGGGUGUGAUGUAAGAUACUGCUCUUUGUUGAGAGCUUUUCUCCUGACAUCCUUGCAAGCCAGGCAGAUGUGUGGAUAUCUCCUAGUAGUUACCCCUGGAAGGAAACUUUACUGGAUAACCUAAGGGGUAAACAGUGCUCAGAGCUGAAUUAAAAAGCGUUGUCUCUGUUUACUCCAGUUCUGUAUGUGCUGCUAACUAUUUCUAGGGCAAAGCACUCAUGUUUAUUCACAGUGGCCAGUUUUCAGUAUUGACUUCCAGACCUGCAGAAGUGUCCUCUUUGAAAUCCAGAAGCAUGAGGAAUUGGCCAAGACUCCAGGUUUCACUCCAGACCCAAAGCUCAGAUCACAGUCAGUGAAGGAGCCACUGAGGGGAGAUGGGAAUGGAUGGCUUGGAAGUGCAUGGGACAAGCAAUGGGGCUGAUGCUGUGCUCCAUGUGCAGCCCUACUCCAAAGGCCAACUCUUGGCCAAGAGGCCUUGCGCCAUCAAGUCCUUGUAGCCAGAAGACCUGAAAAGUGGAUCAAGCUGGUGGCCUCUCCUGAUGAUGGCAAGCAGCCAUGACCUGCCAGGACAAGUGGGCAGCAGCAAUUCACAAUGUCUUCUCUGACAGCACAGGAGAGCUGGUGCACCUGAGUGAAACCCUUGAAAUCAAGAACACAAGGGGAAACCAAACCAUGAAAGGAUAGAAGGGAUGGAGGACCCCUGCUUGUGCCUGGUACACUGACUGGCACUCUGACUCCUGCUCCAAGCCCUUCCUUCAGACUACUGCCUGACCUCAGAGCUGGGCUGAGCUUCACCAAUAGAUGUGUCUUCCUCCUCGCCUGCUCCGCUGGAGUAAGUGGCCUCAUCUCUGCAAAGUAAGCACAUGAAGAGAAGCUAAGUGGGAAUCCGGGCUGUAUUCAUGCUGAGAGCUGGCCAAAGAAGGAGAAAACAUCGAUCUCAAAAGGGUUUUCAAGAUUUGGACAUCUGGCUUCAUCUUUGACUAUGCUCAAACAUGAUCUGUCAACUCCUAUCAAGAAAAAUAAGAGGAAGAACAGCCUAGCCUUUAAAAGUCAGUACUGCCAUAGAAUCAUACAAUCAACUAGGUUGGAAAAGACCUCAUGGCUAGAAAGUUCAUGAAACACAUGUGAGAAAAAAGAUUAGUCUGAACUCAUGACUUUAACACUAAUCUACACCCUACAGUUCCUUUCUCACUUGUUGUGCUAAGAAAUUCUGGCCAGAAUACAAGAAAGUGAAAUGCAAAAAAAGCUCUUAAGAGUAAUAAUAAUCUACCAAAACUAAAGCUAAAUUAUGGAACAUCCAUGUUCCUCAGUUGUUCCGUGUUUGAGAAAAUUCAUGGUAGGGUGUAAAGAUUUUACCUAUCUGAGCCUUGGAUGGUUUCAUUAUUAGCAGGCCACAAAUGAAUUAGGUGGAUGAUGCAAAAGUGACUGCCAAUA
Long non-coding RNA from Strigops habroptila (Kakapo), 1540 nucleotides. RefSeq lists it as uncharacterized. NCBI's taxonomy places the organism in Eukaryota, Metazoa, Chordata, Aves, Psittaciformes, Psittacidae. The transcript is spliced from 4 exons. The record is from RefSeq and is a predicted model, not a curated record.